UACGUAGGGUGCAAGCGUUAUCCGGAAUUUAUUGGGCGUAAAGAGCUCGUAGGCGGUUCGUCGCGUCGGCUGUGAAAUCCCGAGGCUCAACCUCGGGUCUGCAGUCGAUACGGGCGGACUGGAGUUCGGCAGGGGAGACUGGAAUUCCUGGUGUAGCGGGUGAAAUGCGCAGAUAUCAGGAGGAACACCGGUGGCGAAGGCGGGUCUCUGGGCCGAUACUGACGCUGAGGAGCGAAAGCGUGGGGAGCGAACAGG
This 255-nucleotide ribosomal RNA is filed under the name uncultured bacterium. RNAcentral's name for it is "partial 16S ribosomal RNA". It matches the Rfam family "Bacterial small subunit ribosomal RNA", at positions 524 to 776 of the family's 1533-position model. The record is from RNAcentral.